RNAcentral lists this unclassified non-coding RNA (1328 nucleotides) under Cryptococcus deneoformans. Its description in RNAcentral is "Cryptococcus neoformans var. neoformans NCM1". The record is from RNAcentral. Lineage: Eukaryota; Fungi; Basidiomycota; Tremellomycetes; Tremellales; Cryptococcaceae.
GUACAUCGGUCUCAACUCUGGUAGACUAGUCGUCUUUUCCGAAGAAAUUACAUACAAACGAAUAUUUCACAGUACAUGAGGCACCUCCCUCCGCAGUAAUUUUUUUUGCCUUUCGCACCUUCGUCAGACUUGCGACUUGCCGUGCCCGCAAGGCCAGCAGAUGCGUUGUAUAGUGAAUCACUGGCCACUCACGCUCCCGUGGCAUUACCAACGUUACACAUCAGAGGGGUGACUUUGAAAAGCCAUUGAGUCGACUCAUUCCACCACAGCCUACUUGCAACCGUGUGUGCGUAGCAUAUUACCUUGUGGCGGCUCCUGUCAGUCAUCAAUGCUUGUACAAAGCCACAUUUUGCAGUAUUCGCGCACGACACUAUUCUAAAUACGACCUGAUACCUCUCUAAACUCAACUCAAACUGCUUACACAUACAUCACAGCAUUCUUGUGAUCAUUCCCCAGAAGCCCGAAGCCUGGGCAGGCUGAUAGACAGGUAGAGGACAUCAAGUCUUGAAUACAGAUCGUGGCUUUUAAUUUUAUACGUCGACAUACCUUCAGCUUUCUUUUUUGCAACCUGGAUUUGAACAGAAGCUAGGAACGAAUAGCUGUACUCUCUCUGUCGACCAAAAGCUCCGCAGACGAUCAAUCUUGCUGUACAGAAAAAGAGGCCAUGACCGAACGCAGUGAAAUCCUAUCUGGCAACGCUGUUGAGAAGUCAGCGACCGGAUCUACAAAAGCAUGGAUUCGAGACUUGUUGGAGUUGUAUGAGCAUGCUGAGGGGCUAUAUCCAGAUAUAAGGUGGAGGGUACCAAGAGAACGGUCCGCGGUUUGGGGACAUAAAGCCCUUAUUUACGCGCGAGCUUCUAAAGCAUUCAGAGAUGCUUUUUUGCCCCUCCAAUCGUCGGGUCCCAUAGCUGGUGAUCCUUCGCCAUUACUUUCUUGUAUUCGCCACCCAGCCUUUCCUUUCCACAGACCAUUGCAAUUGCUGCCAGGGUCUCUCGACAACUCCAUUGAUUUGCCACUAUGCAACGACGACUUCAUCUUCGACAUGGUAAUCCAUGAAUCUGCGGAACUGUUACGAACCCAUCUGAAGUAGGUGUCUUUUUGUAAAAUCCUCGACAGAUAAUGAUUCAGCGUCCUUGUUCGGUCAGGAUGAUGUAUACCUCGGAAGGGGCAGAAGGUUUAUCAAAUUGGGUGAAGGGGCAGGCACAGAUUGGCGCGUGGCAAUCAGAGCCAUGGUUGUAUCCAGAUGGCUCUGGAACUGUGUCUGAAAGGCGGGCCAAGCUGAGUCAAGAUCUAACAUAUAUGUGGAGAAGCAAGCUUUUUGCGGACGU